GUGGCAGCCGCCGCGGUAACACGUAGGAGGCAAACGUUAUCCGGAUUUACUGGGCGUAAAGCGCGUGUAGGUGGUUCUGUAAGUAGGGCGUGAAAGCUCCCGGCUCAACUGGGAGAGGCCGUUCUAAACUGCAGAGCUAGAGGAUGGUAGAGGGAGGUGGAAUUCCAGGUGUAGCGGUGGAAUGCGCAGAUAUCUGGAGGAACACCAGUGGCGAAAGCGGCCUCCUGGACCAUUCCUGACACUCAGACGCGAAAGCUAGGGUAGCAAACGGGAUUAGAGACCCCGGUAGUCCUAGCCCUAAACGAUGUAGACUAGACGUCGGCGGUGUAAUAGCUGUCGGUGUCCAAGCUAACGCGAUAAGUCUACCGCCUGGGGACUACGGCCGCAAGGUUAAAACUCAAAGGAAUUGACGGGUCCCCGCACAAGCAGCGGAGCGUGUGGUUUAAUUCGUUGCUACACGAAGAACCUUACCUGGGUUUGACAUAGCAGUGGUAGGGAAGAGAAAUCGGACCGACCCUUCGGGGAGCUGUUACAGGUGUUGCAAUGGGCUGUCGUCAGCUCGUGUCGUGAGAUGUUCGGUUAAGUCCGCUAACGAGCGCAACCCGCGUUGUGUGUUAUAUGUGUCACACAAUACCGCCGGUAUUAAGCCGGAGGAAGGUGCGGAUGACGUCAAGUCAGCAUGACCUUUAUAUCCAGGGCUACACACACGCUACAAUGGACAGUACAACAGGUUGCCAAGCCGCGAGGCGGAGCCAAUCCUCUAAAGCUGUCCUCAGUUCAGAUUGCAGGCUGCAACUCGCCUGCAUGAAGUUGGAGUUGCUAGUAACCGCAGGUCAGCUAUACUGCGGUGAAUACGUUCCCGGGGAUUGUACACACCGCCCGUCAAGUCAUGGAAGCUGGCAACACCUGAAGCCGGUAUCCUAACCCGUAAGGGAGGGAGCUGUCAAAGGUGGGGUCGGUGACUGGGACUAAGUCGUAACAAGGUAGCC
Molecule: ribosomal RNA, 989 nt
Filed under: uncultured bacterium
Lineage: Bacteria
Description: bacterial SSU rRNA
Rfam family: Bacterial small subunit ribosomal RNA
Source: RNAcentral